RNAcentral lists this ribosomal RNA (254 nucleotides) under uncultured bacterium. RNAcentral describes it as "partial 16S ribosomal RNA". It matches the Rfam family "Bacterial small subunit ribosomal RNA", at positions 524 to 776 of the family's 1533-position model. The record is from RNAcentral.
GACAGAGGUGCCGAGCGUUAGGCGGAAUCACUGGGCUUAAAGCGUGUGUAGGCGGACCGUUAAGUGUCUUGUGAAAUCCCACGGCUCAACCGUGGAACGGCUGGGCAUACUGGCGGUCUUGAGCGGUCCAGGGGCGAGCGGAACAAGCGGAGGAGCGGUGAAAUGCGUAGAUAUCGCUUGGAACGCCGACGGUGAAAACAGCUCGCUGGGGACCUCGCUGACGCUGAGACACGAAAGCCAGGGGAGCGAACGGG